Molecule: ribosomal RNA, 253 nt
Filed under: uncultured prokaryote
Description: partial 16S ribosomal RNA
Rfam family: Bacterial small subunit ribosomal RNA
Source: RNAcentral
ACGAAGGGUGCAAGCGUUACUCGGAAUUACUGGGCGUAAAGCGUGCGUAGGUGGUUUGUUAAGUCUGUUGUGAAAGCCCCGGGCUCAACCUGGGAAUGGCAAUGGAUACUGGCAAGCUUGAGCACAGUAGAGGCAGGUGGAAUUCCCGGUGUAGCGGUGGAAUGCGUAGAGAUCGGGAAGAACAUCAGUGGCGAAGGCGGCCUGCUGGGCUGUUGCUGACGCUGAGGCGCGACAGCGUGGGGAGCAAACAGGA